GACGAACGCUGGCGGCGUGCUUAACACAUGCAAGUCGAACGGAAAGGCCCUGCUUUUGUGGGGUGCUCGAGUGGCGAACGGGUGAGUAACACGUGAGUAACCUGCCCUUGACUUUGGGAUAACUUCAGGAAACUGGGGCUAAUACCGGAUAGGAGCUCCUGCUGCAUGGUGGGGGUUGGAAAGCUCGGCGGUUGGGGAUGGACUCGCGGCUUAUCAGCUUGUUGGUGGGGUAGUGGCUUACCAAGGCUUUGACGGGUAGCCGGCCUGAGAGGGUGACCGGCCACAUUGGGACUGAGAUACGGCCCAGACUCCUACGGGAGGCAGCAGUGGGGAAUAUUGCACAAUGGGCGGAAGCCUGAUGCAGCAACGCCGCGUGCGGGAUGACGGCCUUCGGGUUGUAAACCGCUUUCGCCUGUGACGAAGCGUGAGUGACGGUAAUGGGUAAAGAAGCACCGGCUAACUACGUG
Molecule: ribosomal RNA, 467 nt
Filed under: uncultured bacterium
Lineage: Bacteria
Description: partial 16S ribosomal RNA
Rfam family: Bacterial small subunit ribosomal RNA
Source: RNAcentral